Molecule: long non-coding RNA, 1485 nt
Filed under: Monodelphis domestica (gray short-tailed opossum)
Lineage: Eukaryota; Metazoa; Chordata; Mammalia; Didelphimorphia; Didelphidae
Description: lncRNA (ENSMODG00000038357.1)
Source: RNAcentral
UUGGUUGACAUUACUGCCCUUUCCCCCAGUUGCCGCAGGGUUGAGCGGCCAAGCCGAGGUCCCCGCAGGAGACGCAGCCAAUUUGGAGUUGAAGUGGUACACUUCACAAAUGAGUUCAAACACCUAGAAUUUCAAUUAUUGGAACCAUAAUUUAUCAAUAAAAGAGAGAAACAAAGAAUCUACCAGCUGGGGCAGAAUUCCCUAACGGAAAACUGCGUGGGUUUGACAUUAAGAGACAGUUUAUAUAGGACAAGUUAUUUCUCUUCACGUACAGGUUCUUAUCUGACAAAGAACAGACUUUAAUACAGGAAUGCGAGGUUGGAGAGGAGCUGAUCCUGGGGUUGUGAUCUAAGGAGUGUUUAUCUUCACUUAGCCAAAUGCAGAAGAACAUCAAGGGCCAGAUGAGCAUUGUAUGGGAGGAUCUUUUAACAGAUGGAGGGAGAUCAAGAGGGAGAAAAGGGUAUGUAAACCUCAAAAUUUCUUAGACUUAUAAAUGUUGGAAAUUUCACCAUUGGGAAAUUUCAUACUUGGAAAAUUUCCUAUUGAUAGUGGCUCUUGACUAUUGGAAUGUGAACCCCAUUGGCAUGGGAGGUUCCUUCUCUUCCCUUCUUAAGAUUACUUUAGGACAGAAACCUUUUGCUGAACAAUGGAAAGGACUUUGACCUAUGCUUAAGCAUAGAACAGGAAUUUCUUUGAGUCAUGAUUGAUUUUAGAAUUGAUACAAUGGAGAUACUUGGAAUCAAUCUCCACCCUAUUCAGUCCUAACAGGAUUGAGUAAGGGCUGCAGCCUAGAUCAAAAUUUAAUUAUUCCAAUCUCUACCCUACUCAGGUUAACAGGAUUUAGAAAGGGCUGUAGCAAAGGAGCAGAGAUUUAAUCAUUUGAAAAUAUGACCUUCAACAGACAUGUGCAAAGCCUCUGGGCGGUCCUGGGUUAAGCUAGAGCCUCCAUUGGCACAGGGAAAUUGAUGGACAGUGAUUGGUAGAUGUGAGAACUGAGGGGAGGCAACUUGGAUGGUUUCCUUAAAGAUCAGGGGGGUCUGAAGACUCAAGAGGGUUGAGGGGUUGGUCGGUGUGGUUCGUGUGGGCUCUGAGAAGCUUGCUCUGAAGGAAGCUGAAAGUGGGGGCCUCUGAGACUGUUUCUCCAUUUUGGUCACGUGAGUAAUAGGGACUGAUCUUUUUUCUUUUCCCCAGCUAUCUAAGGGCUUGGGCCUUUUGGCCCAGCCUAAACAGAAGGGGUAUUUAAGCCCUAUUCCCUUCUCUCCCUUUUUCUCUCUCUCUAUCUCUAAUUCCUUUCUUACUCCUAUUGUAAUUAAACUCCAUAAAAGAUUUACUGCUGACUUGAGUUUUCAUUUAGGAAUUACAUAGCUGAAUUCCUUGGCGACCUUAAAUUAAUAUAUAUCAGUCUUUUAAAGUGAUUCCCUUGUAACAGGUAAGAAGGUAGAAAGGUAAAAAAGGCAACAGAUUGUAAAGGGAUUAAAUGCCAAA